Long non-coding RNA from Cuculus canorus (common cuckoo), 5223 nucleotides. RefSeq lists it as uncharacterized. The record is from RefSeq and is a predicted model, not a curated record. Lineage: Eukaryota; Metazoa; Chordata; Aves; Cuculiformes; Cuculidae. The transcript is spliced from 3 exons.
GUCAAUGUUUAUGCAGUCUUUGUGCCAGCGUCCAGUCCUUGUGUGCGUGAUUGAACACCGGCACCAACUCCACAGAAGCAAUGGAAUCUGUCCUUGCAGAAAUAAAAACCUUGAGUGGAUGCGGCUCUGAGGAACUUAAUCUAGUUAAUCCUGCUUGAUCGAGGAGGUUGGAGUACUGGCCUCCAGAGGUGCCUUCCGACUUCAACCACCCCCUGUUUCUAUCAGAAGAAAAGUCUUGGCAAACAAAACUUCUGAAUUUCUCUAAUUAAGCCUGGGAAAUGCCUGGUGUGGAAACUGCAGAAUUGUUCGUUCUCAGGUCGACUCCUUGCUCAUAAAGAUAAGAGCAAUGUUCAGAGCAAUUGGAAAGAACAAUUCUCUUGAGAUUUGCAUUACCAUGCAGUUUUUUACUGAUGUUUGCCCAUUACAACACAAUGGAUGAUGUAAAUGCCUAUUUAUCUUCAUCCCCUAACAAAGCAGAAAAUGUGCAUGGUUACACAGUGAAUAGAAAAUAGAAAGAUUCAACAAUGCAAUAUCUUAAAGAAAGAAGUGCCAAUUAAGCAUCUUGCAAAAAUAUUGUCAGUUAUAAAGAAAUCCUGUAUGUACACACGUAGCUUGGCAAGUUUCAGUUUGCUGACUCAGUGGACAUUUUAGAUAGCAGCAGGAAUAGUGUUAUUACAAUGAUGGUCUAAGGAAGACAGUGAGGCAGGAUUUGUAGAGAGAACGAGAUGAGGCAAGUAGAUUUUUUUGACUGAAGAGGGGGUUGCUUGAAAGAGUGCCUCUUUAAUUCUGUUUAUAUUGGUUUGUCUAAUUAAGGCAAUCUAAGCCAGUGACAUUAUCAAAUGCAUUUGUGGUCCAAAAACCAUUGCAUUUUUUCACUCUUUGAAGAAUCCAAAUGAUGAAUCAAGUAACAGGAAUGUCACUCCUGACUCGUGAUAUUGUAUUUGUCUGUGUUUUUCAAGUUUCUUUCACUUACAAAUGGAGACAUGGACGUGGUAGCAAAGGGAAAAUGAAUCCCAUGUGAAGAUAAAACUCUUAUCUAGGAUGUUGCCUUCAAUAGAAACCUCAGCACCAUAAAAUCUAAGUUCUUUAACAACAUAAAUCCUAAAUAUGUCCUAAAUUCCUUGGCAUCAUAGAACACACAUACUACUUUAACCUAUUUCUUUUUGCUGUUUUCCUGAGUUUUUGAAAUUUUUAUAUUUCCUCUAUUUAUUUCUCCAUAUUUUUUUGACAUCUCCCUGUGUUUAAUUUGGUUUGCCAUUUUUUUGUUUAAUUUCCUGUGGUCAGUAGCAAAUCAAUGAUUUUGUACAGGGGCAUUGUCUGGGUUUCCAGCAAGUACAACAAGGACCCAAAUGUUUUCUUGGGUGUGAUUCUGCAGACAGCUGCCUGUACUUAUAACUGAUUCUUUUCCUGACAGCUUUAAAUUAUUGCUAUUUACUUGCCUGCAAGCCUUCACUAAAACUGAAAUUCUUGCACAAGCUCUGAUAUGUCAGGAAAACUGCAGAUGAAGCAUGUGAAGAAAGCAAUUUAUCCAUCACUGACAGUCUAGCAGUGCACGACAAUAUUUCAGUGGCUGGUCAGUGGUGAACUGUGGCAGUGGCAGUUUCAUUAGGUGUGAUUUCAGGUCAGCCCAUGAAUAGUUUAUAUCUCUUCUUCUGUUAAGAGUUUGCAUAUAGGUUAUUAUUUAGAUGUUACUUAUCUAAAAUGUAGGAGAACUGACAGGUGAUUGCUUUAAUUGAAAUGGAAUAUAUGCAAUUUAAACUAACCAUAAAUUGAAAUGGAGGGUUUUGAGGAAUCCUUAUCUGGAUGUAAUUUUUGGUGAGUGUAUUUUUUUUCUUGGUUUGUUUUCUUUUUUAAUAAAUCUGAAAUAAAUAAAAUUAAUUAUUAAUGCCAUUCAAAACUGACAAGGGCUGCUGGCUGGGGGCCUACAGGGAAGCUGGAAAGGGGCUCUUUAUCAGGGAGUGCAGUGAUGGGAUAAGGGGUAGUGGUUUUAAGCUGAAAGAGGGGAGAUUUAGAUUAUUUAUUAGAGGUCUCCCGAAAGAAUACUGCCAUUGGCGGGAUUUUAUAGAGGAAGAGCUGAACUUCAGGAGAAGAAGAUGCUGAGUUUGUUCAAGCACUCAGACAUCAGCUUACAUACCUAGGUCAUCCAACAGGGUAUUUAAAGGCUUCCACUUCUUUUAUAUAUAUUUUGAAGUCUGCCUUGAGAGGACUAGAUCCAAUAUUAUCAAUGGGGUCUCAAGAAAGAAAACCAUAUCCAUUAGAUUAUCCUUCUUUUAAAUUUUCUAACCAGCUCUUCUUUGAUCAUACCUCCAUGCUGGAUGUACUCCAGGCUGUGCUGAUGAGAAAUGGGAGAACCUCUGGGCCAUCCUGGUUCAUGUUGUCAGGUUUACCCCUGCCUCUCUGAUGCAUCCUCCUAGAGCUGUUCCCAGCCCAGAUAUCAAUGCCAGUGUGUCCAUCUGAUGUUGGGUGUUAACUCCUCCAGCAGUACUGCUCGGUGUGUGUUUCACAGAAUAACAGAAUUUUUUAGGUUGGAGAAAACCUUUAAGAUCAUCGAGUCCAGCAUUAACCCAAAAAUGCCAAGUCCACUGCUAAAACAUGCCCUUAAGUAACACAUCUACACAAACUCUAAAUCUCUCCAGGGAUGGUUACUCGACCGCUUCCCUGGGAAGCCUUUUCCAAUGCUUGACAGGUCCUGCUUUUGGCAAAUCCCUUGGGAAUUUUUGCCUCCUCCUUCUGAAGAAGUGUCCCUGUGCUAACCAGGGGAGGUUUUAUGUGCACUUUUAUUUUGUAUUAUACAUUAGACAGCAGCAUGUUAGAGGAUUGUUUUAGUGCUGAAAGAAAGUGAUCUCUGAAAUUAUUUCAGUUUCUUUUCCAAAUUCCUGUGGGAAAAUAUAAAGGCAUUUUAUGUAUCACUGAACUAGGCAGUAGCAACAACUAAUCUCCUGUUUGGGCUGAGAGAAAUGUACCCACUUGCUUUCAGGACACGUUACUGACUGAGAUACCAAGAUAAUAGCACAGGUUUUCCAUUUUGCCUAUGUUCUAAGAUCUGAAUUUUCAAUCAUCUCCUUCACUUUAGUUUAAUUAAUCCAGGUUAACUGAAUUCAAUCAACUGCCCUACGCUUUCUUUAAUCAAGAUAAAAUGCCAUGGCUGACUUAUGCUUGUAAAACUUGAUGGUAAACCUUUUUUAUAUAGGUGUAAAUUAUAAGUUUGUAUGUUUCUCUGCUUUGUUUUACUGGCUACACAUCAGAGAUACACAAGAACUUUCUGGAAGAGAAAAUGUCUUAAAUUUCCACAGGCUCUGUGACUCUGGAACCCUUGUAUCAUUGACUUGCAGUGAUUCUGAAUCAAUUAGGAGCCUAAAUAAAAUUUGAAAAGGAUAUUGAUUGUCCGAAGGAGUCUAAAAGCACUUUUCAGUAUCUGUAGCUAAAGGAACUUACGGUAUAAUGCAAGGAAGACAGUCCAGCAGAGGCAGGGUGUAAAGAAGAUGCCCAGAAAGGUGGGCAUAGUGGUGUUUUGCCACUUUUUCACAAAAUCCAAUUAGAUCUAGGGUUAUAAAUGUGACGAAGAGCUGUGUCUUCCUCGUGGAGGUCAAUCAUUGCUUUUGAGAAAUUAAAUUCCAACUUGGAUACAGCUGUACACAGCUAUUUUCAAUGUGGUCACAGAGCACUGACUAUGCAUUGAGGUAAGAGGCACGAUGCAAUGUCAGUCUCCAUUCUGCUGGUGGUGUUCCUUGUACCCCUGAAAACCACGUCCUGGCCUCCUGCAUAUAUUAGAUAACCCUGGAGCUUGUUCUUCAGAAAACUCCUCUGAAUUUGAUUCAUUCCUGUGACAGGAGAUAUCCUUUCAACCAAGAAAAAUGUUCUGUCAUCCUUAAACCAUCAGCCUGUGAGAUGGAAUAGCCAACUUGGUGUGUUUGCGUAAGUCCACUUCUUUAUGGCCACAGGCUGUUUGGUUCCCUCCCAGUCAGGAUGACUAUUUCUCAUCUGGUCUCCACUCUAUUUGUUUUGUUUUACUUGUAGCCCUGCUACGAAUUAAAAUUUCCAUGAAUUUAGCUCUGAAUCACUUGAAUACACAAAGCUUUCUGAGUGUAGUUCACAGGGAAGGUCAACACUACAAAUGAAAAUAAAUUAGUCUGACAGAGGUGCCUGUGUCUGUCUCUCUGCAUGGGUGUGGGCAUCAUGCUGGUGACGGUGGCUGACGUGCUGCCUGGGUAGGAACCAGGGCCAGGUAAACAUGUUCAAUGGAACAAUUUCCUCUCCAUAUUAGACUUGUUAGUGUAACCCUGAGUAUGAUACUGUGUUUGCCAUAUAGGCGGAAAGUGAAAAAUUCUGUAGAAACUUGGUAACAGCAAUCAGAUCUGCACAACUAUGGAUGUUUUCCCUGCCUAGUUUUUAUUUGGUUGCUUUUUAUCUCAGACUUCUCUUCCCCCAAUACAUGUAAACGUGUCAUAUUCAGGGGAAAUAUGUCAUUUAAGCAUCUCUGUUUUUAAACAACUUGUCUUUAAUUGAAACACUGGUGAUUCUUCCUGAAGAAACCCGGAGGAUGAACACAAAUAAUUAGAAUGCAAAAAUCCUGUGAAGUAAGAGGAAGUAUUGCUCUUCUUUAAUUCCUAUUGUCUCCUUUUGGAAAUUGGUUAGGUUAGGGUUUAAGUAAGUGUAACAGAUAGGAGAUGAAAAAGCAAAUAAAAUACAUAAAAAAUUCACUUUUGUAUUAAUGGAACAAUGACCUGAAAGGGAAAUCCUACCAACAGUCUUAUGCAAGAUGGUGAUAAAAAAGCAAAAGAAAUCUCUUCAUUUUCAAGAAAGCUUCACAAAGAAAGCAACCAGACAUGGAAGCAUCUCCCACCUUUCACUGCCAAUGGAUGUUGCAUAUGAUGUCCUUGGAUGCCCAAAAGAUUAGGCAGUCUGAUCCAUCUGGCCCGUGUAGCACGGAUCAAAGACAUUUCUCCAUCUUCAAACAUAAGCUCAUGCUCACUGAAAAUGAAGAGGACAAAUUGAAAGUUAUAAUCUGAGAAAAUAAAUAGGGCCACCUGGCUCUUGAGGGGGCAAAAUUGUGGACCAGUCCUCUCAUGUGAAAAUGCAUUAUGAACAACAAAAAAGGUUCUGCUACUCUGGUAUUUUUCAGAAUUCAGCUUCAGUCACCAGCCUGCACCAUACGACUGCUAUUGACUGCUCCAGUUUGCUGCAUCAUUUGUACCAUGGCACUUCUCAACAUCCAGGAGAACU